AUUGAACGCUGGCGGCAUGCUUUACACAUGCAAGUCGAACGGCAGCGCGGGCUUCGGCCUGGCGGCGAGUGGCGAACGGGUGAGUAAUGCAUCGGAACGUGCCCAGUAGUGGGGGAUAGCCCGGCGAAAGCCGGAUUAAUACCGCAUACGACCUGAGGGUGAAAGCGGGGGACCGAAAGGCCUCGCGCUAUUGGAGCGGCCGAUGUCGGAUUGGCUAGUUGGUGGGGUAAAGGCUUACCAAGGCGACGAUCCGUAGCUGGUCUGAGAGGACGACCAGCCACACUGGGACUGAGACACGGCCCAGACUCCUACGAGAGGCAGCAGUGGGGAAUUUUGGACAAUGGGGGCAACCCUGAUCCAGCCAUGCCGCGUGCGGGAAGAAGGCCUUCGGGUUGUAAACCGCUUUUGUUCGGGAAGAAAUCCUCUGGGCUAAUACCCCGGGGGGAUGACGGUACCGGAAGAAUAAGCACCGGCUAACUACGUG
RNAcentral lists this ribosomal RNA (484 nucleotides) under uncultured bacterium. Its description in RNAcentral is "partial 16S ribosomal RNA". It matches the Rfam family "Bacterial small subunit ribosomal RNA", at positions 28 to 507 of the family's 1533-position model. The record is from RNAcentral.